Molecule: non-coding RNA, 107 nt
Organism: Capsicum annuum
Lineage: Eukaryota; Viridiplantae; Streptophyta; Magnoliopsida; Solanales; Solanaceae
Source: Rfam
UGCUGGUGAUGCGGACAAUCCCUGAGAAGAUACUUGAAUCUCUCUUAUGCAUGAUAUAGGUUUUCAUCUAAAUUUUGCUUAAAAUUCAGGAUUUCACUCCUCAACCU